CCUACGGGGGGCUGCAGUGGGGAAUAUUGGACAAUGGGGGGAACCCUGAUCCAGCCAUGCCGCGUGUGUGAAGAAGGCCCUCGGGUUGUAAAGCACUUUCAGUGAGGAAGAACGCCUGGUGGUUAAUACCCAGCAGGAAAGACAUCACUCACAGAAGAAGCACCGGCUAACUCCGUGCCAGCAGCCGCGGUAAUACGGAGGGUGCGAGCGUUAAUCGGAAUUACUGGGCGUAAAGCGCGCGUAGGUGGCUUGAUAAGCCGGUUGUGAAAGCCCCGGGCUCAACCUGGGAACGGCAUCCGGAACUGUCAAGCUAGAGUGCAGGAGAGGAAGGUAGAAUUCCCGGUGUAGCGGUGAAAUGCGUAGAGAUCGGGAGGAAUACCAGUGGCGAAGGCGGCCUUCUGGACUGACACUGACACUGAGGUGCGAAAGCGUGGGUAGCAAACAGGAUUAGAUACCCCAGUAGUA
This 465-nucleotide ribosomal RNA is filed under the name Vreelandella stevensii. Its description in RNAcentral is "partial 16S ribosomal RNA". It matches the Rfam family "Bacterial small subunit ribosomal RNA", at positions 338 to 795 of the family's 1533-position model. Lineage: Bacteria; Pseudomonadati; Pseudomonadota; Gammaproteobacteria; Oceanospirillales; Halomonadaceae. The record is from RNAcentral.